GGAACAUGGAAGAAUAUGUGGACUAUUUUGGGGAUCAUAUGUAGAAGAGGCAUACAUCUGUGAUUCUUAAUGAUUUACUAGAAAUAGUGAAAUGAAGGAAAAGACACGCACAAUAUAAACACAUUCUAAAAAUUCUAGAUUCAAUAGACGUAAAACUACUUUGUCAAAUUGUGAUAAAAGUUUUUAAAUUCUUACUAUCAAUUUCUACCUUUACGUCAUUGUGGACCAUCAAGAAACAAUUCAUGAAUGAGCAGUGUACCCCAGACCACACUUUGAGUAGUAUUGGCAUAUACUACUUUGGCCCAUUUUCCAUUGUGACAUCAUCUCAACCUAACUGCUAGAGAGAUUGGGAAAUGUUGUUUUCUUUUGUGCUCAGAAAAAGGAAAUAGAUUGGUGGGCUUCUAGUCCAUCUCUGCCACAGCUCUGCAAUGAAUUUAAAUUGAACUUAUUGCAUGCAUUGCUUAAUGUCCUUUGUGGUUAAACUAUUUCCUAAAUGGUACAACCUGAAUAUCUUAGUGUGACAAAUUUACUCACGAAAGGUCCCUCUAUCAUCAGGUUGGAGGAAGUCUUGACAAGGAAGUUGGCAAGACUGGAAGUUGACCUUAGCAUUCAGAGAGCAAAGAGACUUUCAGGAUAUCUGUUCCCAAGUACGGCGAGAUGGCAGUCCUCUCUCAGAGCUCCAUUCUGCACAGAAUACGGAUGUGUGAAGCACACUUGUGUCUGCCCACUGCCCAUUGUUUGCUUCUUAACAGAAUGGCCUUCCAGAAGAAUUCCACAAAUUUGUUGAAAAGGAUUUCUUUGGAGGAAAAGCUUCGGAAGGAUACAAAGUAGUUACUUUUGAAAGGUGGAAUUGGUAAAGGGAUAUUGAUGGUGACAGGAAACUUUCACUCUUUCCUGUGUAUGUAUUUAUUAUAUAGCUUUAUGAUUAAAACUGCAUAUGUAUGAUUAAAAUAAUUAAAAAGAUCAAUUUGACAUAUGGCAUUUUUUCAGUAAAAGAUAGAAAGGAAGGAAUUUAGGAAAGAUGGAAGGAAGGAAGGGAGAAAGGAAAAAGGAGACUCCUUGAUAAUCAGAGCGAGAGUUAGGUACUUAAACAGCCAAUUUGUCAACAGUGAUGAUGCUGCUGCUGAUGAUAAGAGUGAUGAAUACCACUAUUGCCUUCAGUUUUACUUUGGACUUGAAUAGCAUCUGGACUUAGCUGCUCACUGCCUGGACACCCUGCCUUUUCUCUCAGUUCUAACUAAGCUUCGCUCGUGCUUCUUUGUUAAAUACCAAUGAAAUUCACAGAUCUUUGCAACCUUAAGCUGUAAGAAAAUUCAGUGCAAAAGCCUGGCUUAUAUAACUUUGAACCUUGACAACUAGACAGGAUUUAUCUCAUGCAUAUGUAUUAAUUUUAAGUGCUUUUCUCUAACAGUCAUUUGACAUUUAAUAUACCAUAAUUGUAUUAUUAAAUUUAAAUGCAUAUUUGCAAUUCUAAAAGCACUACUGAACUUUAUGGGUGAAAAAUACAUUCUCCUUCACCUUGGUUCCUUCUCACCCACCAGUUCUUCUCUAGGCUUUAUUCGCUCUGCUACCCUCACCCUGGCUGGAGUCCUCUCUUUUUUCCACUAUCUCAGAUUCUCAACUUCCUUUGUUUUCCCAUUGCCUAAUAUUCUCUUCUCUCCUCUCUUUGGAAUACAUGUUCCCUCAGUCUUGCUGCAUCUUUCUUCUUCUGUUGUGGAAAGGUCCAGUGCUUCUGUUCUCUACCAGCAGCCCCUCACAGUCACAUCUCUCAUUCAUCUGUGGGGAAGUUUCAAGAUGCUGCAGUGGCUUUCACUUCCACCAACGAUCUUUCAGCACAGUCUACGGGGGCAUUUUGCAAACAUUAAAGUGGCCUGCCUCAAGAGGUGAUGAGCUCCCGAUCGAUCACAAUCCUUUCAGGCAGGGAGUGAGGGGGAUGCUGAGUAUGAGGAGUUGGGGGAAGAUGGCCUGAACAACCUUUGAGCCUUUUCCUUCUCCAGGUCAGACUAUCUCUCUUCUUUACUCUUAAGCCUUUAAUAGCUAAUUAAGAAAGUGCUGCCGCACCUCUAGCUCUCCACCAAAAACUCUUGACUUUGACCUUUUAUGACGUCAGGUGUCAACAGGGUCUUGGACAUCACUUCAUUCAACAACAUUACUUUUUACCAGAAAUAAAACUGAAGACCAGAGAAGUUAAGUCUUGGCUCAGUUUCCAGCUUAUCAGAAGCAGAGCUGAUGCAAGGGCCCUGGUCUAUGAUUCACAUUUGAGUGCUCUCCACUCAUCCUAUCAGCUUCAGCCACACAAAACAACCUGUGGUGAGUUCCCUGAACGUGACCUUCCAGUUUAUGGCUCUGUCAUGUCCACGCACUUGCAUCUGCUCUUUGUCCUGCCAGCCAGCUACAACUUUUCCAACUUUCUCUCACAUAGUUAAGCCUUAUUUAUCCUUCCAUUAGAGGUCAACUUCAAUUCCUCAGUUUCCUUUUCUUCUCCAUUCUGUAGUGUUCUCUGCAAUUCAUGUUCACCCACUCUCAGCUGCUGCUUUCCUUUUUGGAAAGAAAGGAAAUUUCCAGUCCGUGUGGAAAUGUAUAGUGCUACUGGUCACUGUACAACAUUUCCCCCCAUCAUUUCCCUACACAGUCAUAUCUCUCACUCAACAUGUAGGGCAGUUUUCUUCUCAAGAGGGAGCUCAUCCUGUACUUUACUGAUCCUCAGGCUUGGGAAGAGCUGCUUUUGAGGGGAGCACAGUUCCUCUGAUUUUGCUGAUGCCUGUCUCCCUCAACAAAAGCUAUUCUGCAGGGCUGGACUGUGGCCAAGUGGUUAAGUUCGCACGCUCUUCUUUGGCAGCCCAGGGUUUUGCCGGUUUGGAUCCUGGGCGUGGACAUGGCACCGCUCAUCAGGCCAUGCUGAGUCGGUGUCCCAAAUAGCACAACCAGAAAGACCUACAACUAGAAUAUACAACUAUGUACUCAGGGGCUUUGGGGAAAAAUAGAAAAAAAAAAUUAGCAACAGAUGUUAUCUCAGGAGCCAGUCUUUAAAAGAAAAAGUGAGUGCUCACCCAUAGCAUUUGCAUCUAAAAAAAAAAAAAACCUAUUCUGGGAUGAUUCUCAGAAGGUCUAACAGUUUAAACCAGUCAUUAUCUCUUUCCUGCUCUGCUAAAAUUUUUGACCUGUAGACCUAAUGAGAUGUGGUAAAUAAGUACUGCUGCUUUUCCUCUUCUUUCCAGAAAUUUCCAGUGUUUAUAUUCAUUGCAAAAUAGUUUCCCCCAAUCAGUCCAUCACACAGACACAUCUCACCCUAAGGACCAAGUUUAGGAUAUUGCACUGACCGCCUUACCCCUACUUCUCUGAGUUUUCAUCAGCGUCUGAGGGAUCAUUUUUCAAAACUUAAAGUUCUCUGUCAUAGAAAAGACUUCAUUUCUCUCCCAGUGGUGCCCCUCCUUAGAAGAGAAUUAUACUGCAUACGCCUUUAUUUGGCUAAAGAAGUGUGAGCAGAAGUGAUGUGUGUCAUUUCUGAGCAGAUAUUUUCCUAGUUUACCAUGAUUCUGUUUUCCUUCUUCCACAAGACUCACGAUUGAGGUUAUUCCAUUAGCACGGUCCUAGAAGGGAAGACAUGAAGCAGAGCUCCAACUGACCCAUUGCAAAUAUGCAGUAUGGGCAAGAAAUAAGCUUCGUUGAUGUCAAGCCACUGAGAUUGUGGCUAUGACCAAUUGUCUCAGCAUAUGAAGUUUGGGGGGAUCAACCAUUCAGUCUAUAGCACAAAGCUUAUCCUGACAGAUUCAGGUGGGAAGAAUGCAAGAGUGAACUUGUAACUGAUGUGCACUUCCAUUCCAUGUGUGUGAUGUUCUGCAAUUGUGGAAGAGGUCUGAUAAUUCACUGCAGAUACUGUGUCACGGUCUUUGAUCAAUUUGCUGUGGCAGCCAUUGUGUCUGACAGCUUGGACAUUGUCAGGAAAGGCCUGGAGACUUAGCUGGACUCCUGUCUGUGGUACACUACACUGAGUCUCAAGAAAAGAAGAUUACUGUGAGAUGAUAGCUAACGUGAGAGAAGGAAUGAAAUCUUCAAUAUAAAACCAGACCAAUAAUGAUUGCAGCUAGGGCAUUGGAAAAUAGUCCCGAAAAUAUAAUGAGUGUUACCUAAUUUCCCAAGUCCAGUUUUCAUAGAGCACAUCUUACAAAAUGUACAAUACAUUCUGCUAGGAUAAAUAAAGGAAGCUUGAUAUCAAUCAUAUGCUAUUUCCCCUGUGGGUCAUCCAGACAAAAAGCCUACAAAAUGUAUAGAGCAUCAAGGAAGUUAAGAGAAGUUCGUGGAUGACAGACUUGUAAACAGUAAUUAGACAAAAAGAGGGCAACGUAACCUGAAACUGAGCUUCACAGAUCAAGAACAGUUAAUACGAGGUCACCUUGGGCACCCCAUCUGAGAUGGCACACUCUGCAUGGGUGGACUUAGAGUUGAAGCUACGGUGGCAUUUACACUUCUCUUAAAAUAGCAAUAGAGUUUGUCAUUCAACUGGUAGCAGGUUUUCCUUUUGCCUUCACACUUGCCACAUGAAAGCUGCCUUUAUAUGAGUGUCACCAGCCUGUCUUUUUAUAAAUCACUGCUGCCUUGCCAAAUAGAUAUGUGCAUCGGUAAGACUGUCCUUUUUUGCAUAAGUCUCAUAAAUCAACAUCACUGAACAAUUCCCAGCACAGGUAGUCUUUUAAAUUUAAAAAUUGGAAAACAUAAAAAAGGAGACUGUGAUAUGGAAAGAAAAAAAUCUCUUAAGAAAUUCUGAGUGUUUGUUGGAAACAAUGAGAGAAAGAGAGAGAGAGUGAGCCAGAGAGAAAGUUUCCCUCACUCAGACGCUCUGAAUUAGGAGCCAGAAGGUACAGCAAAGCUGCAAGCAGAAAGAUAGAGUUUUCCUUUGUAGCUUGGUAAAGGUUUGCGUUUUGUGACCCUGGAAGGAAGGCUGUCUUUGACGUUGCCUCAAGGGUCACUAGACUCCCUGGUCCGCCCUAAGAUGCAUGCUCUUGAGAAAAGGAACGUGACUAGUGCGAGGGCCAAAGAAGGUGACGAAUGGAUUACUUUCAAUGGAAAAAUAUAUAUAAAAAUAGGGAUAACUUAAGCUUAUUGAGUGCUUAUGCUGUGCUGGGUACUUUCUAAACGCUUUACCUGUAAGAACACAUUCAACCCCUACAGGAAACCUCUCAGAUAGGCGCUACAGUUAUUUUAUUUUUAUAGAAAAGGAAACUGAGGCAUAGAGAUAUCAUUAAAUGACUUGGGCAGAGUCACCCAGCUAAUAAGUGUCAGGGCAGGAUUUGAACCUGGACAGUAUGGCUUCAGAGUCCACACUUCUCCAGCAGCAAAACUAUAAUUCAACCACAGAUACUCUCACUUUGACAAAUGGACUCCACAAACAGGGCCCUGCCUUUCUUUGAUGACCAGGGUGGAUAUUCUUAGAACAUGGUCUCGGACUUGGCAAGCCCCUAGACUUUGCUUUAACCUACUUUCCAAAAUAGGUUCUAUCUGGUGUGAAAUCUUGAAGGGGAGUGAUUGGACCAUGACUCUUAAGGGUACACAGGACAGCCCAAGUUUAGUCUAAUAAUUGCUGGGGAGAUCUAGGGCUCUGUCUAAAGUGUGCUCUGUCUUCUCUUUGGUGCGUGAUACACCAAAAAUGACUUCCCCCUCCUUGUCUUGGUUUGCUCAUGUGUAAAACAAGGAAGAUAAUAAUAAUGGUCUCAUAGAGUUUGAUGGUGAAAUUAUGUAUUCUUGGCCCUUAGGAAAUGUUAACAGUCAUUAUUAAAUUUUGUCCUGAAUGCCUGUUGCCGCAUCUUUUGCUCAUGACUUCCAAGUUCCAGGAUUAGGUUUGCAGAGCUUUACUAAAAGCCUAUAGCUAUUUUCUAGCACCAAAUCCCCGACUCAAACUUUGAGACGGAAGAGACUUACCUUAAAGGACAAGUUAAAGAAAGAAGAAACUUAUUCUGCUCUUUACUUCUUUACAUGAAGAAAAUUUUGAGUCAAACUAGAAAUGUACAGCUCAGAAAAAAAUAAGUUUUUUAACCUUCAGGACAGUGAGGUGGAAACUAGCAUGAGAUUCCACACCUCAGUGGGACAGAAUGAACUCAGGGUCUGGGUUACACCUGACAGUCCCCUACAGCGCUAAAAUCAGCUAUAGCUACGGAUCCUCCUGCCCAGUUUGAGGAAGUUCAAGGCUGUCCCAGGGCUUGCUGCCUUCUCUGCACUUCUCCCUGCUGUGCAAGCAGAUUCUGUACUGGGGAGGGAGAUAGAAAGGGAAGGCUAUUUCAACUGACCCCUUACCAUUAUACCCUUUGAAUAGGAAUUUUCUGGAAAAUGGGAAAAACGAGCAUUCUUCAAAAAUCUCCCAAGCUAAUUCUGAGGUACAAUUUGUUCCAGCUGGACACCACUGUAAUUUAAGAGCUUUUAGGUACAUGCACAAACAUGUGAAGUGAAACUUUGGAGUUCUAAGAUGCUUCUCAAAGCCACACACACAAAGAACUCUCAUGACUUUGCUCACUUCUCACACUUGUUUAUCUAAUCAAAGAUAUCUAAAUAGAUUGAAACACUUUGGAACCCACUUCCAGAAAAAUAUUUGUCCCCCUUGAUUAACCAAUGUGCUUUUCCCCCUCAAGUAUUAAUAAUUAAACAGGCUAUAAUAUUUUUGCUUUGGCAACCCGGAAGCUAAAG
Equus caballus (horse) is the source of this 6675-nucleotide long non-coding RNA. The record is from Ensembl. Lineage: Eukaryota; Metazoa; Chordata; Mammalia; Perissodactyla; Equidae.